Molecule: ribosomal RNA, 403 nt
Filed under: uncultured bacterium
Lineage: Bacteria
Description: partial 16S ribosomal RNA
Rfam family: Bacterial small subunit ribosomal RNA
Source: RNAcentral
AUUGAACGCUGGCGGCAGGCCUAACACAUGCAAGUCGGGCGAGCGGCGGACGCGUGAGUAAUGUAUGGGUACUGCCUGAUGGUGGGGGAUAACUACCUGAAACGGUAGCUAAUACCGCAUACCAUCAGAUAACCCAUAUGGGAUUAGCUUGUAGGUGAGGUAACGGCUCACCUAGGCGACAAUCCCUAGCUGGUCUGAGAGGAUGAUCAGCCACCCUGUGACGGAACCGCGGCCCGGACCACACCGGAGGCAGCAGUGGGGAGAAGUGCAGUGUGGGCGGAAGCCUAGUGUAAACCAGCCACGUGUAUUAAGAGGUCCAUGGGGUUGUGAAGUACAAUCAGUCGGAUAGAGUUACCAAAAGAAGAAGCACCGGCUAACUCCGUGCCAGCAGCCGCGGUAAUAC